Molecule: non-coding RNA, 138 nt
Organism: Gossypium raimondii (Peruvian cotton)
Lineage: Eukaryota; Viridiplantae; Streptophyta; Magnoliopsida; Malvales; Malvaceae
Source: Rfam
UGUUAAAAAUUUCAUCAAUUUGUACUAUUAAAAUCUAACGUGGCUAAUGGAAUAAUCAUCCAAUGACACGUGGUAUGCUAUGUGUACCUAUGUACAAAGAUCAAUUUUUAAUAGUAGAAAUAGAAGGAACUUUUAACA